RNAcentral lists this small RNA (59 nucleotides) under Myotis lucifugus (little brown bat). RNAcentral's name for it is "GRIK4 3 prime UTR element (ENSMLUG00000021279.1)". The record is from RNAcentral. Lineage: Eukaryota; Metazoa; Chordata; Mammalia; Chiroptera; Vespertilionidae.
UAGAGGUGGCAGAGACAGGAAUGGAGCCAAGGCGGCGGAGACGGGAGGGAAGCAAGCCA